RNAcentral lists this long non-coding RNA (741 nucleotides) under Apteryx owenii (little spotted kiwi). RNAcentral describes it as "lncRNA (ENSAOWG00000008243.1)". The record is from RNAcentral. Lineage: Eukaryota; Metazoa; Chordata; Aves; Apterygiformes; Apterygidae.
CACUGUAGAAAUAUAUAUAUAUAUAUAUAUAUAUCUUUGUGUAUAUAUAUUUUUCUCUUUUCCUAUAGGAAGGAGGCAAGAAGCCAAGUGGCAGGAUAUAUGCUGACAAAGCUGAAAAGAUGACAAUCUCACAGAAGAAAAUUGGAGACAGCAGGAGCAUCUUGUCUCCCUCCAGCAGAACAGUGAGCCAGAAUGAAAUGUCUGCUUCCUGUUGGAUCUUGGAGUCACAAUGUGAAAAUGUGGAUGGUUUGGGUCCAGCAGAAUUUUUGAAAAUGAACAUGGAAGUGGGUAAAAGCGUGGUUUGGAUACCAUGGGCAGUAAGAAGGACUCUCAUCGUUUCUUCCAAAAGCCCCUGUCAAGUCUCUACUCUGCUAUGUGUUUGCCAAAAUUUACCUUCAGCUCAAAACUACUCUGAACUCAGUGGGUAUCUGUCACAGUCAUCUUAAGUAUCCAUCUCCUAUCUAAAAGACUAAAGCUCAGAAAGGCAAGAGAGAAACCAAUAUCAUGACAACGGAUGUGCAAGUGAAAGGACGUCUAUAUGAAUUGUAUAUGGAGGCACAAGAUCUUUUUAUAAGUAAGUAAGUGAAGCAUAUGGAGCUGAGUUCAGACUUAAAAGCCCACUCAUUCUACUUGGAAGCAAAAAUGGGUAAAAAUACCAUUUCACUGCUGGUCAUUUGAGGGCUUUUGUCUUACGAUCAAUUACUGCCAUAGGCACCUCCCUGUCUUUAAUGCUUUGCUCCU